CUCUCCGUGGUUCAAUGGAUAGAACGAGCGCCUCCUAAGCGCUAGAUACAGGUUCGAUUCCUGUCGGGGAGACCA
Molecule: transfer RNA, 75 nt
Filed under: Denitromonas halophila
Lineage: Bacteria; Pseudomonadati; Pseudomonadota; Betaproteobacteria; Rhodocyclales; Zoogloeaceae
Also listed under: 5 other names
Description: Denitromonas halophilus tRNA-Arg
Rfam family: tRNA
About the family: Transfer RNA (tRNA) molecules are approximately 80 nucleotides in length. Their secondary structure includes four short double-helical elements and three loops (D, anti-codon, and T loops).
Source: RNAcentral